Molecule: ribosomal RNA, 404 nt
Filed under: Actinomycetes bacterium
Lineage: Bacteria; Bacillati; Actinomycetota; Actinomycetes
Description: Actinobacteria bacterium partial 16S ribosomal RNA
Rfam family: Bacterial small subunit ribosomal RNA
Source: RNAcentral
UGGGGAAUAUUGGACAAUGGGCGCAAGCCUGAUCCAGCCAUGCCGCGUGAGUGAUGACGGCCUUAGGGUUGUAAAGCUCUUUUCUCCGGGACGUUAAUGACGGUACCGGAGGAAUAAGCCCCGGCUAACUUCGUGCCAGCAGCCGCGGUAAUACGAAGGGGGCUAGCGUUGCUCGGAAUCACUGGGCGUAAAGGGCGCGUAGGCGGCGUUUUAAGUCGGGGGUGAAAGCCUGUGGCUCAACCACAGAAUGGCCUUCGAUACUGGGACGCUUGAGUCUGGUAGAGGUUGGUGGAACUGCGAGUGUAGAGGUGAAAUUCGUAGAUAUUCGCAAGAACAACGGUGGCGAAGGCGGCCAACUGGACCAGUACUGACGCUGAGGCGCGAAAGCGUGGGGAGCAAACAGG